Salmo salar (Atlantic salmon) is the source of this 229-nucleotide non-coding RNA. The record is from RefSeq and is a predicted model, not a curated record. Lineage: Eukaryota; Metazoa; Chordata; Actinopteri; Salmoniformes; Salmonidae.
ACUCUUCAAUGAAGAUCCCAAAGGACUCUACAUUAUGGACAAGGAAACCUGUUCGAUCACCAUGCACUGCAAAAUCAUUCUGGCUACGGAUAGCCUACAGAGGACAUUCAACACAUUAACAUCAACAUGUAAGGUGAUGAACCCAUUGGACUUGGGGCUCUGCUGGGAGAUUACCUCAUAAUUUGAUUUUAAAAUGUUGCUUUGCCAUUAAAAUCAUAAUAAACACGGA